Molecule: non-coding RNA, 774 nt
Filed under: Pongo abelii (Sumatran orangutan)
Lineage: Eukaryota; Metazoa; Chordata; Mammalia; Primates; Hominidae
Source: RNAcentral
CCUUUGCUGUUCUCAAGGCUGGCACUGAGGUUGGCAAAAGUUCCAAGCAGGGCUCCAACUCCAGAACAAACCUUUCUCCAACCCCUGAAGCUGUGCAGCUAUACUUUACCGGUUACGUCUAGACUAUAAGGGACCACAGUGUUCCAUCUCAGGCAGGUUCAGCGACCUGCAAGUAGUGAUACAGCUGGGAAAGUUACAGAGCCUGCGGGACGCUCCCGCUGCAACUUCAGUUCCGACCAGAGGUUCUGCGAACCUCCAGGAUUUAGCAGGUUUCCAGGACCGGUGGGUGAAUCUACCCGGGGAAGUUUUGGUGGACAAGAGCUGCUCCCCAGCUGUCGGAGUGGGAGAGGCCAGCGUGCUGGCUCCAUCCACUUCACCUAACACCUCUGAAGUGUCUGCCCUGCAGUGUGGCAAGCGUGGUGCUGAGCGCUUCUAAAUCCGUCGCUUUAAAGAUCAUUAGUACAAUGUUGUGAGAGGGUUAGCUCCAUUUGAAAAUUAUUUUCCCGCGAUUACAAAAGAAGUGAUGCUUACUGCAGAAGUUAGAACUGGGAGAAGACUCAUCACCCCCAUGAUCAUGUCAACAACUGCCCUCCUUCAGUUUUGGUUUGUUUUGUGUGUACACUUUGUCAUCUUUCCAUUGAGGAAACUCAGGCUAGAAGGAGGAUAAAAACAAAACAGAAAACAAAACAAAACAAAAGUGCCCUGUAGGGUCCUGUAGGUCAGUGUUUCUCACAUUUUAAUGUGGUUGCGGUUCUGAUACAGUGGGUCUGGGGC